GUGGAUUAGAUACCCUAGUAGUCCACGCCCUAAACGAUGCGAACUGGAUGUUGGGAGCAACUAGGCUCUCAGUAUCGAAGCUAACGCGUUAAGUUCGCCGCCUGGGGAGUACGGUCGCAAGACUGAAACUCAAAGGAAUUGACGGGGGCCCGCACAAGCGGUGGAGUAUGUGGUUUAAUUCGAUGCAACGCGAAGAACCUUACCUGGCCUUGACAUCCACGGAACUUUCCAGAGAUGGAUUGGUGCCUUCGGGAACCGUGAGACAGGUGCUGCACGGUUGUCGUCAGCU
Molecule: ribosomal RNA, 289 nt
Filed under: uncultured bacterium
Lineage: Bacteria
Description: partial 16S ribosomal RNA
Rfam family: Bacterial small subunit ribosomal RNA
Source: RNAcentral